This 501-nucleotide ribosomal RNA is filed under the name uncultured bacterium. Its description in RNAcentral is "partial 16S ribosomal RNA". It matches the Rfam family "Bacterial small subunit ribosomal RNA", at positions 29 to 523 of the family's 1533-position model. The record is from RNAcentral.
AUUGAACGCUGGCGGCACGCCUAACACAUGCAAGUCGAGCGGUAACAGGAUUUGUAGCAAUACAAAUUGCUGACGAGCGGCGGACGGGUGAGGAACACGUAGGAACCUGCCUAGAAGAGGGGGAUAACCAAAGGAAACUUUGGCUAAUACCGCGUAAUCUCGAGAGAGCAAAGCUGCCGCAAGGUGGCGCUUCUAGAGGGGCCUGCGUCCGAUUAGCUAGUUGGUGGGGUAAAAGCCCACCAAGGCGAUGAUCGGUAACUGGUCUGAGAGGACGACCAGUCACACUGGGACUGAGACACGGCCCAGACUCCUACGGGAGGCAGCAGUGGGGAAUCUUGGACAAUGGGGGCAACCCUGAUCCAGCGAUGCCGCGUGAGUGAAGAAGGCCUUCGGGUCGUAAAGCUCUUUAGGCUGGGAAGAAGGGUAUAUGAGGAAAUGCAUAUACUUUGACGGUACCAGCAGAAUAAGCACCGGCAAACUCUGUGCCAGCAGCCGCGGUAA